This 526-nucleotide ribosomal RNA is filed under the name Lodderomyces parapsilosis. Its description in RNAcentral is "eukaryotic LSU rRNA". The stretch from base 182 to 335 matches the Rfam family "5.8S ribosomal RNA". The record is from RNAcentral. Lineage: Eukaryota; Fungi; Ascomycota; Pichiomycetes; Serinales; Debaryomycetaceae.
UCCGUAGGUGAACCUGCGGAAUGGAUCAUUACAGAAUGAAAAGUGCUUAACUGCAUUUUUUCUUACACAUGUGUUUUUCUCUUUUUGAAAACUUUGCUUUGGUAGGCCUUCUAUAUGGGGCCUGCCAGAGAUUAAACUCAACCAAAUUUUAUUUAAUGUCAACCGAUUAUUUAAUAGUCAAAACUUUCAACAACGGAUCUCUUGGUUCUCGCAUCGAUGAAGAACGCAGCGAAAUGCGAUAAGUAAUAUGAAUUGCAGAUAUUCGUGAAUCAUCGAAUCUUUGAACGCACAUUGCGCCCUUUGGUAUUCCAAAGGGCAUGCCUGUUUGAGCGUCAUUUCUCCCUCAAACCCUCGGGUUUGGUGUUGAGCGAUACGCUGGGUUUGCUUGAAAGAAAGGCGGAGUAUAAACUAAUGGAUAGGUUUUUUCCACUCAUUGGUACAAACUCCAAAACUUCUUCCAAAUUCGACCUCAAAUCAGUGUAGGAGUACCCGCUGAACUUAGGCAUAUCAAUAAGCGGAGGAAAAG